This is a long non-coding RNA of Oncorhynchus tshawytscha (Chinook salmon), 2573 nucleotides long. Lineage: Eukaryota; Metazoa; Chordata; Actinopteri; Salmoniformes; Salmonidae. The record is from Ensembl.
UCAUGUUGAUCAACAUUUAGAAAACCGGAACUCCGUUCCUUUAUUACAUUGGUUUCCAAAAACCAACACACAUCUUACAGACAGGAAGGAAUGUUCCUAAUAUCUGGACCAAUGUUUUCGGUCAUCACUGUUAUAUUAGUACAGGCUAAUUAAUACUGAACAGGACAAUACUUACUGAGGAGGGGGUGGGUAGCCUGAGUGCCAAUCUGUUUGUGCUAUCAUGCUAUCUCCCUGGCACGCCAAAUGGUUGGCUUGACAAUGGAAACAAUGGAGUUGUCAAAAACACAGACCUAGAUUCAAUCAAAUCAAGCGUUAAAAUCACAGGCCUAGAUUCAAUCAGAUCAAGCAUUAAAAAUACAGGCCUAGAUUCAAUCAGAUCAAGCAUUAAAAAUACAGGCCUAGAUUCAAUCAGAUGAAGCGUUAACGCCGAUAGCAGACACCCACAUGUUUUGGUGGCGUAGCAACCGUGUUGGUGAGCAGCUGCUGCUGAGAUCAGUCACGAAGCCACACCCACCUCACUUAUGUUAGAAGUUCAGAAGGAAGUGUAGGCCAGGGCUAUUCAACACUCCAUUUCCCUACACUGCACCACAUUCAGUCCACAUUCAGUCAUCAGUACAGAUCCCUUGAUAUCGGAGUUUUAGAUAAACUGAAAGCUAACUUUGCAACAAGAUUUGAUGAGUUUAAGUCCCCACAGAGGUGGUGCAGUUUAUUAUAGGGGCCCAUUCUCUACUGAUAGGAAGGAGAGAGACUUCUGCACAAAAACUAGUCAACUGAAAUAUGCAUUUUUGUUCAGUAUAGUUGAAUAGCCCUGUUCUAGACUAUAUACACUGUAGAUAUUCCAUUAAAAAAUCUGCCGUUUCCAGCUACAAUUGUCAUUUACAACAUUAAUAAUGUCUACACUGUAUUUCUGAUCAAUUUUAUGUUAUUUUAAUGGACCAAAAUUGUGCUUUUCUUUAAAAAACAAGGACAUUUCUAAGUGACCCCAAACUUUUGAACGGUGGUGUAUAUGUAUAACUGUCUCUUUAGUGUUAGUUUCCUGACACGUGGCAUCAUUCCAUUCCAUUGUUAGUGGACCUUUCUUCCCUCUGUCAUGUUGGUGUGGUUGUUCCUGAGGGACGCUAGCAAUAGUGGACCAUAUUAAGCUAAUGUUUUACAAGUUGUGCAAUAAUUUGGGACCUGUAGCCUAUUUGAAUCAAGGGCGAUUUUUAAAAAACAUUUUAAAAAACAUGGCCUAGAAUCAUUUAUUUUUUAUUUAAAGAAAUGAUUGGGGGUUGUGUGGGUGACACGAAUUGACCUGUUCUGAAUGUUGGGGGGGACAUGUCCCCUACCCCCCGUGGUCAUUUCGCCUAUGAUGUGAAUCAUUAUGGAACGCAGAGCACACAUAGCAGUUGAUACCUGGAGCCUGGUGCACGGUUCAAGACGACUGGACCGUUGUCAUCACAGUUCCACGAUUAGUGAUGAUUAUUAGGAUAGUUUUAAAGGACUACUGGCCAACCCCUACUGUACACUUUUCUCCCCUUCCAAUACUUCAUGGAUUGAACAACUGUAUAUGACAACUUUUAGGAUGAAUCAAACCACUGUAGUUUUGAUUCACCAAUAUAUUUAGUGCGUAAAGGCACUCCAAACCUGAUUUUACUUUCCUAACCCUAAAUAAUAUACAAGAUCAGAGCAUUUUAAAAUCUACCAAUUGGAAAAGGAAAGAAAUGUAUGUAUUUCCAUGGCUUCCUGUCAUUGAUCCCUAAUACUCUGAACCUUCUCUCCAUAUAUUCCACUGAGUCUGUUGAGAACAUUCUAAUUAAAGGUACACCAAGUUUAAAGGGAUGGCUUUAGAUAAAUGUAAACCCUAUCGGUAACACUAUAAACUCAUCUCCAAAACAGCAUCAAUACCUUAGUAAUACAGUGGUAGUAAGUUAUGUAACCUGUUCUCAGGUCAGAUCAUUGUAAUGUAGAAAUGUUACUCUACAUAUAAAAGUGUAGCAGGGAUCUGUAGUUUUAUGUAGCAGGGAUCUGUAGUUUUAUGUAGCAGGGAUCUGUGGCAGACCAAACUCAUCCACCAGAACGCCAUCCUGAAAAAACAAGAAAAUAUGUGUUAAAAAACCCCUAGAGUCAAUGUCCGCACCCCUGCUGAAAUAAUUAGCAUAAUACAAAAUAACAAUGACAUAUCAGUCAGUUCAAGCUAGAGAUAUGUUUUUUUAGCCUGGGCUCCGUCUCAACCCACCGCAUCAACCGAUGUCGGCAUUCUGCAUCUGUGGUGAAAGGAGACAGAGCUAGAGAGGUGUUUGUCAGACCAUGAGACGUUCCGAAAACCGCUCUUCUCACAAAUUCAUCUGCAGCGUACGAACGAUUUGGGCUACAUACUAGUAGCCCCUCUAUGGAAAGGUGGGGCUCGCCCGAACAUAUUGGCUGUUUUGCUCUAGGACACCCACAAGCCCCAAAAGACUAGUAUGAAGGUAGCUGACUAGUAUGAAGGUAGCUGACUAGUAUGAAUGUAGCUGACUAGUAUGAAUGUAGCUGACUAGUAUGAAUGUAGCUGACUAGUAUGAAGGUAGCUGACUAGUAUGGAGGUAGCUGAC